Phytophthora infestans T30-4 is the source of this 84-nucleotide ribosomal RNA. NCBI's taxonomy places the organism in Eukaryota, Oomycota, Peronosporomycetes, Peronosporales, Peronosporaceae. The record is from RefSeq and is a predicted model, not a curated record.
GCCAUCUUAGGCUGAAAGACACCAUAUCCCGUCUGCUCUGUGAGAGUUAAGCAGCCUCAAGCUCGGGUAGUACUCGGGUCGGUG